Molecule: long non-coding RNA, 1026 nt
Filed under: Olea europaea subsp. europaea
Lineage: Eukaryota; Viridiplantae; Streptophyta; Magnoliopsida; Lamiales; Oleaceae
Source: RNAcentral
GUGUACUAUUCCUCCACUGAUAUUAUCAUCAUUUUGUUGAACUUCUGUUUGUGUAACAGAAAUGACUACCAUCGGGACUUCGUCAAGUCAAAAUGAUUCAAAUAAUAUGGUACCACCCGUGGCCAUACCGUUGCAUAAUACUACUAUCCCACAUGGGAAAAGUCGGAAAAGUUUGUAGGAGUAGACUUCAAGAGGUGGCAACAAAAGAUGUUGUUUUAUCUCACCACUCUUAAUUUGGCUAAAUUUCUGAAGGAACUGCACCGGCCGCAUAAGAAGGGGAAAAUAAUCGUGAAUCGAUUAUUGCUUUGGAUGCAUGGAAAUACUCGGACUUCCUAUGCAAGAACUAUAUCAUAAACACAUUGGAUAAUACACUAUAUGGGGUGUAUUGUUCAAAGGAAUCAGCCAAGGAACUAUGAGAUUCUUUGGAGACAAAGUACAAGACCGAAGAUGCCGGAACAAAGAAGUUCAUUGUUGACAAAUUUUUGGACUACAAGAUGGUGGAUUCCAAAAUCGUAAUUAGUCAAGUGCAAGAGAUUCAAGUCUUGUUACACGACAUCCACGCCGAGAAAAUGGAAUUGAGUGAAUCAUUUCAAGUGGCUGCCAUUAUUGAGAAACUCCCCCCUAUGUGGAGAGAUUUCAAAAAUUACCUCAAACACAAACGCAAGGAAAUGAACUUGGAAGAAUUGAUUGUGCGCUUGAGGAUUGAAGAGGACAAUCGGAAAAUCGAAUAGAGGCCGGUUGAUCCAGAUGGCGUAAAUUUUGUUGAAAUGGAAUCAAAUGCAACAAAUAAGAAACGAAAGGCUCCUAAUUAUGUACCGCGAAAAGACAAUUCCAAGAAGGCUAAGAAGUUCAAAGGGAAUUAUUACAACUGUGGCAAAGUUGGAUAUCGUUCAAGUGAAUGUCGAAAGCCAAAGAAAAAUGCUCAAGCCCACAUGGUUGCAAAUAACACUAUAUCCGAUGGACUGCAAGAAAUAAGUUUAUCUGCAGUAGUGUCCGAAUGCAACAUGAUUGGAAAUAUUAGAAAAU